This 261-nucleotide long non-coding RNA is filed under the name Ananas comosus (pineapple). RNAcentral's name for it is "long non-coding RNA (ACOM_LNC020966)". The record is from RNAcentral. Lineage: Eukaryota; Viridiplantae; Streptophyta; Magnoliopsida; Poales; Bromeliaceae.
AAUGAGUAGUCUAAAAAUGAAUGGUUGAAAAUAAAAAUCUCAUAAAAAAUAAUGAUAAAAGGCUUAAAUUAAGGAUCAGAUGUACUGAUUUUACUCUAAAUAGUGAAAAAAAAAAUUGUAUAAAAAUUUUAUCAGAUUUAGAUUGUUUUACACCGUUAAAUUCACAAAAGCAUCACAUCUAUCAUUAAAAUUGUCAAUUUUGAGAGCUUUUGAUUACUAGCAAAAUGAUGUCGAAAAAUUAUGAAAUUUAGUUUCCAAAUA